Long non-coding RNA from Phyllostomus discolor (pale spear-nosed bat), 2616 nucleotides. RefSeq lists it as uncharacterized. The transcript is spliced from 2 exons. The record is from RefSeq and is a predicted model, not a curated record. NCBI's taxonomy places the organism in Eukaryota, Metazoa, Chordata, Mammalia, Chiroptera, Phyllostomidae.
CCGUACGUCCAUUGCAGGCCAGCCAGAUGCUCUGCUCUGCGUCCUCUUCUUGCCCAGACCCACACUGAUAGAGCAGCCUCUAACUGGAACCCAGAGGUCACGGUGGCAGAGUAAAAUGAGAAAGCAUAACGCGUCGAGUUCAGGCUCUUAAACCUUCCACACACAUCACUUCCACUCUCAUUUCAUUGGCCAAUGCAGUGACUAAUCUCAAGUCAGCAAGGAAGUGUAAUUUUCGUGUGCCUGGAAGAGGAGAAGAACUGUAAGCAUUGAUGAGCGGCACUCCUAUCUCCUGUGUGGGUCAGUGACCAAGAACAACUUGGAAUUGCAGUAGCCUGUCAAAUCCCCGUUUCCCUGGUUUCAAUGAGGUUUCAUCAUAAGCAUUUGGUGAAAAUGGCGCUGCUGUUCAAGGCUGCAUAUGCGUUCUGAAGGCAAACACAGCCAUAAUAGUAAUAAUUCUGGUUUCCUGAGCGACUUUUCUUGAAGCCUGUCAUUUCAUUUUCCAUUUCCUCAGAAUGGAGGUUUUAUCUCUUAAGUAUCUAUUGAGGACUGACAGGUGAGGUGAGUAGGCCAAGUCUAUUAUUUAGAAUUAUGUUUGAGGCCAAAAUUAAAUGUGACUUUCCCCAUCUUUUCCUCAACAGAAAGAAGUUAGCAGGAGGCAUGCGAGUUAAACAGAGAUCGUUGCUGCAAAUGGCUCACUCCCAGAAGUCCCUCUCUCGGAAUUUCAGUUGUUGAUAACUAGCAGGUUUUAUCUCCAGGAACUAAGAUAAGUUUUUCUUCACUUCUGGCCUGCCAACUUGUAGACUGUCUCCAGCUGAGGCAACACUGCCAGAAUGAAUAACUGGAGAAUGCACUCAACUCUCUAUUUAUUUGGAAGUAUGAUAAUUUGAGGGAAAAUUAAAGUUGUCAGUUUUUCAUUGCACCCUACAGCUCUCAGUGCUGGUUAUCUCAUCAGACUGCAUGGUAUACUUCUGCAUAAAAUUGUGUAAACGAAUGGAAAAGACAAGAAAGAGAAGGCAGAAUUAAUAUCUUGCUAAAGGCCACACAGCAUGUUUCAGGCAGGACUGGGUACCUGAAUGCCCUGGCUGAUCGGACUGAGGCCUUCGAGCUCUAGCCCAGGAUAGGGAGCAUGUGGGUGCUGAGAUCACAAAGUUAUGCAAGGGGCAAGGACAAUACAUUUUAAAUGUAUAAGCACUGACCUGUGACAAACUGUUCCAGAGGCCCAGGGACUGUGAGCACUUUGAGGGCCAAGGGUGUCAGUUCACCUUUGUAUCCCAGGCUCCCAGCUCAAUGCCUGGCAUGUCAGCAGACACCCAGUCAAUGGCAAAUACAAUCUGUUGAAUACAUUCAGAGCCUUUAAAAAUGUAAACCAGAUAAUCCCAUUUCUCAGCUUAAAAUGCUGCAAUGACUUCUCGUUUUCCUCAAAGUCAGAGUCCAUGCAAUCCGAUUGUUGCUAACGACUGCAUUUUCCAGUCUCCCUGCUCCAUCCAUUUCCCUACAUGCCCGCCUUUGGCUCCUCCACAGGAGGCGAAUCCCUUUGUACUGGCUGUUCUUGAUGCCUGUACUCUGGCUCUACAUAUAUAAAAGGCCACCUCCCUUACUACUUCCAAUACUUUGGCCAAAUGUCACUUUUCAUGAAGGCAUAUUCCCACUGCCCUUUGAAAAAUUGCAGCCCCCCGCCCAGCCCCUGCCCACCCAUACCCCUGCCCUCCCUUAGCCUGCUCUGUUUCUUUCCUGAACCUUUAUCGCCUUCUAACUUUCAUUUACUAUUUUGUUUACUUACUUUUUAUGUGGAUGUUUUGCCAGGAUGUUAGCCUACAAGUGUGAGGAUCUUUGCCUUUAUUCUUCACUGGUAUCCCUAGUGUUUCAACAUACUGAGGAUGCUUUGUAAAUACUUGUUGAAUGAAAAUUAAUAAAACUGGAUUAGGGAAGCAGGUGAAUGCAUGGGGCAGUAAGUGCAAAGGGUCCACAGUUAAGGAUAGGUGUACUGGUGAAUGGACCACAAGUCCUGGUAGAUUUAUGGAGGCGGACAUUCCUUUCACAUUCCAAAAAGCUCCUGCAAUUCAAAGAUAAACUUGCCCAGCUAUCAGAGUCAAAGCUACAGACAUUCAACCUAUUAACUGUCAAGAUCUCUUGUUAACAAUGUAGUUCAGUCCUUGAUGCAUUCAGACAAACAGUGCUUGUGUGAACUGGUUUGAGGCCCUCUGCAUCAGGAUUUCUUGAUAAGUAUUAAGGUUCCUGAACUUUAUCCAUAUUGCUGAAUAAUCUCUAAGGAUAAGAUCCCCAGAUAAUUAGAAUACAUACUAAAAUUUGAGAAUUACUAGUGUAUAGAAAAUCUAUAGAAAACAAUGAGAUUAUAGGAAAACAGAAUAUCUGACUGUAGUAUAAUUAUUCCACAGGAUGUUAAUAAGAUUGUAGUUUUUUUUGAAAAAUAUUUCUUGACUUAAUAGGUUAGGAUAACAUUGAGUUAAAUAGAUUUUAAAAAAUAUAUAACAGGAAUUCUCAGAAUCUUUGAUCAGCUGACAUGAUUGUGAAUUCUCCACAGUAGGAAAUACUCAUAUUUUGCCAUGUACAAUGAGUACUUUUUGCCCAAGUUUUUAAGGAAAAAAUAAGGAUGCA